RNAcentral lists this ribosomal RNA (524 nucleotides) under Epicoccum nigrum. Its description in RNAcentral is "eukaryotic LSU rRNA". The record is from RNAcentral. Lineage: Eukaryota; Fungi; Ascomycota; Dothideomycetes; Pleosporales; Didymellaceae.
GUGGCUUYKKKGAGUUUGUAGACUUCGGUCUGCUACCUCUUACCCAUGUCUUUUGAGUACCUUCGUUUCCUCGGCGGGUCCGCCCGCCGAUUGGACAACAUUCAAACCCUUUGCAGUUGCAAUCAGCGUCUGAAAAAACAUAAUAGUUACAACUUUCAACAACGGAUCUCUUGGUUCUGGCAUCGAUGAAGAACGCAGCGAAAUGCGAUAAGUAGUGUGAAUUGCAGAAUUCAGUGAAUCAUCGAAUCUUUGAACGCACAUUGCGCCCCUUGGUAUUCCAUGGGGCAUGCCUGUUCGAGCGUCAUUUGUACCUUCAAGCUCUGCUUGGUGUUGGGUGUUUGUCUCGCCUCUGCGUGUAGACUCGCCUUAAAACAAUUGGCAGCCGGCGUAUUGAUUUCGGAGCGCAGUACAUCUCGCGCUUUGCACUCAUAACGACGACGUCCAAAAGUACAUUUUUACACUCUUGACCUCGGAUCAGGUAGGGAUACCCGCUGAACUUAAGCAUAUCAAUAAGCGGAGGAGRA